AACGAACGCUGGCGGCAGGCUUAACACAUGCAAGUCGAGCGCCCCGCCAGGGGCGCGGCAGACGGGUGAGUACCGCGUGGGAACGUACCUUUUGGUUCGGAACAACUCCGGGAAACUGGAGCUAAUACCGGAUAAGCCCUAACGGGGAAAGAUUUAUCGCCGAAGGAUCGGCCAGCGUCUGAUUAGCUAGUUGGUGAGGUAACGGCCCCCCAAGGCGACGAUCAGUAGCUGGUAUGAGGGGAUGACCAGCCACACGGGCACUGAGAAACGGCCCAGACUCCGACGGGAGGAAGCAGUGGGGAAUAUUAGAGGAGGGGGGAAAGCGGGAUCCAGCAAUACCGGGUGAGGGAUGAAGGAGCCCUGCUUGGAAAGUGAUUAUGUUGGGAAAGAAGUAAAGCACGUUUGUACCCGGCGGUACUGACGGUACCGAAAGAAUAAGCACCGGCUAACUUCGUG
RNAcentral lists this ribosomal RNA (456 nucleotides) under uncultured bacterium. RNAcentral's name for it is "partial 16S ribosomal RNA". It matches the Rfam family "Bacterial small subunit ribosomal RNA", at positions 29 to 507 of the family's 1533-position model. The record is from RNAcentral.